Long non-coding RNA from Lutra lutra (Eurasian river otter), 829 nucleotides. RefSeq lists it as uncharacterized. NCBI's taxonomy places the organism in Eukaryota, Metazoa, Chordata, Mammalia, Carnivora, Mustelidae. The record is from RefSeq and is a predicted model, not a curated record. The transcript has 3 exons.
GGAAAACAAAGCUGUGAUUGAACGCCCAAAAAGCUAUGCAUCUGAGGCUCUCCCUACAGAGGCAGGUUUGUUUUUUUGUUUUUUGUUUGUUUGUUUGUUUGUUUUGGUGUUUUUUUUUCCAUUUACUAUAAUAAAUCUGUACCCCCCAAAAUCCUUGUUUUUUUUGAUCCUAUCUUUGAUGUUUUUUAUUAUCCUAUACUUUGAUGUUUUUUAUUAUUUCUUAAUUGCUUGCUGAAAAUAUCUCUUGAAUAUUCCAACUUUAUUUCUGUUGAACUAAGAAGAGGAAUUUAAAUUCUUUGGUGUGUGAUUCAGCAGGACAGUUACCUCAGGCUGAGACAGAUGGGAACCUAGAAAAGAUUACAGAAUUGGGGCAGCUGGGAUGCGGCUCCCGAAACACCUGGGCUGCUCUCCUCAGCAUGAUCGGUGACAGCUUCUGACAGCUUCCUUCAGACAAGCAGCAAACUCAUGGAAAGGUGACUGGAGCGACCAGGAGUCAAGUUCUUUAGAGGCCAUGUGAACACAUCUGCAAGUGGAUUCUCCUCAAAGCUUCAUUCAAGCUUUCAGAAGACAGCCAUCCCUGCUGACAGAUUGCCUGCAACCUCAUGAACCAGAACCCUUGGCUCAGCUACUCCUGGACUCUGCACUGUUGUUGUUUAAAGUUGGUCAUAUCCAGUCGAUGAGCAAAUCCUGUGGACUCCACCUGCAGAAUAUACUUAGCAUCUGAUGAUUCUCAAAACCUCCUUUGCAAACAUGGGUUCAUUCCCCUCCAGUACUAUCCCGGGUUGCUGGUAAUGGUCUCUAGAUCUCCCAGAGUAUCCUAAUAGCCUCC